RNAcentral lists this ribosomal RNA (253 nucleotides) under uncultured bacterium. RNAcentral describes it as "partial 16S ribosomal RNA". It matches the Rfam family "Bacterial small subunit ribosomal RNA", at positions 524 to 776 of the family's 1533-position model. The record is from RNAcentral.
UACGGAGGAUGCAAGCGUUCUCCGGAUUCAUUGGGUUUAAAGGGUGCGUAGGCGGAAUAAUAAGUCAGUGGUGAAAGCCUGCGGCUUAACCGUAGAAUUGCCGUUGAUACUGUUAUUCUUGAGUAUAGUUGAAGUGGGCGGAAUGUGUAAUGUAGCGGUGAAAUGCUUAGAUAUUACACAGAACACCAAUUGCGAAGGCAGCUCGCUAAACUGUUACUGACGCUGAGGCAAGAAAGCGUGGGGAGCAAACAGG